GCAAAAUUAAAUUACUUGAUUGUGGGUUGGAACAAAAAACUGCAUGUUAAACAACAUAAACAUUUGCUGAGACCAUGGCAGUCUGAGGAUGCUGUGCUUGUUGGAGAUUUCAAUAAGCAUGUAUUAUGCAAGUUAGAGGAACUUGUCACAAGGAAUAGAUGGCAGAGAGGUUUAUUUAUAUUAGAAUUUGAAUGCAUCAAGAGGGCGUGGUCAGCUUUCAAAGGCGGUGGUGAUAGGAAAGUGCUUGUAUGGUGCAGCAGCAACAGCUAAGUCUAUUGGGAGAAGGUGCAGGAAAAUAGAGGAAAAAAAUAAACAUCAAGAAAUAGUCUCUUUCUUUGUAAAAUGGAUAUUAGCAGUCUUUUUUUUUUAAUUAGAAAAGGUGGACCAGGCUAGCCUGCCUUAAUUUUCUUUUCUUUUUUUUGUCUUAUGUGUCAGGAUUUUGUUGAUAUUUAUAAAUAAUAGUGACAUUUUCUUUGUUAUGGCGCAGCCUGAAGUUUCUCGGAAAGGAGAGUGAUAGUGGGCUGCCAAUUCUUUUUCCUUUGCGAUUUCCAAGCAGUGGUUGAGUGGUCAUCCCAUUUUAUGAUACGAUGUGAAAAUUUCGGAGCUACCCACAAGUUAAGAAAAGCUCAGUCGGUCAAUCAAUGGAAAGUUGGAUCAAAAGGGGAAGAAAAAUAAAAUUAAACUAAAUGGAAACUUAUGGAAAACGUUCACCUGCAAUUGUUUUUCUUUUCUUGUUAUUGUGGGGGGAAGGGAGAGGGAAUCAUACAUAUACUAGUCUUCACAGCCUGCUCUUCUUAUAUUACAUAUUUCUGUUGUGUUUUUCUUUCUCACGCGUGUUCUUACUUGAGAGAAGGGAACCAUAUCCCUUUCUUUUCUUUAUUCCUUUUCAGGGUCAAUAUUAUUUACUUACCCAAGUUUGAUUU
Molecule: long non-coding RNA, 923 nt
Organism: Ricinus communis (castor bean)
Lineage: Eukaryota; Viridiplantae; Streptophyta; Magnoliopsida; Malpighiales; Euphorbiaceae
Exons: 2
Source: RefSeq, a predicted model, not a curated record